This 1254-nucleotide ribosomal RNA is filed under the name Bacillus sp. (in: firmicutes). Its description in RNAcentral is "bacterial SSU rRNA". It matches the Rfam family "Bacterial small subunit ribosomal RNA", at positions 95 to 1430 of the family's 1533-position model. Lineage: Bacteria; Bacillati; Bacillota; Bacilli; Caryophanales; Bacillaceae. The record is from RNAcentral.
GCGGCGGACGGGUGAGUAACACGUGGGUAACCUGCCCAUAAGACUGGGAUAACUCCGGGAAACCGGGGCUAAUACCGGAUAACAUUUUGAACCGCAUGGUUCGAAAUUGAAAGGCGGCUUCGGCUGUCACUUAUGGAUGGACCCGCGUCGCAGUAGCUAGUUGGUGAGGUAACGGCUCACCACGGCCACGAUGCGUAGCCGACCUGAGAGGGUGAUCGGCCACUCUGCCACUGAGACACGGCCCAGACUCCUACAGGAGGCCCCCAUAUGCAAUCUUCCGCACUGGACGAAAGUCUGAAAGAGCAACGCCGCGUGAGUGAUGAAGGCUUUCGGGUCGUAGAACUCUUUUGUUAAGGAAGAACAAGUGCUAGUUGAAUAAGCUGGCACCUUGACGGUACCGAAGGGUAAUGCCCCGGCAAAAUACAUGCCAGCUGUCUCAGGGAUUCAUAAGGUGGCAAGCGCUGUGCGGGAUUAUUGGGGCGUACUGCGCGUGGAGCGAGCUUCUUUAAGGCUAAGUGGAGGCCCCCAGUGCACCACGGAGUUUCACUGUAAAUGGGUGCACUUUGGGGCUCCCUCUCCUGCUGCUCAACUAGCAAUCUAGCAACAGGGUAAAGCGACCUAGUGAGUUUCCCAGUACACGUGCAUAUACAAAUAAGAGCGAUCACACCCAUCGCACAGGAGUUACAUCUUAAUCAUUCGCACUGUGGUCUCCGGCAUACAGUGACACUCCAAUGUCCUGACCGGGACUCCCACCUCAGGUUAAGACACAGGCUUAGCUCGAAGUAUCGCCAAGAACUGCACCUAGUGCUGGCAUCCUACGAACAACCGAGACAUAUGGCAUGUCGUUCGCGAUGAGAUUCUCACUUGGUACAUUCUAGUUGUCAGCUCGUUCCACUAGAACUUGCGUUUAGUAAAGAAAAGAGUGUUAUCACUCUUAUGCAUUCCAAUCAAUAAGGCGUUAUUUCGUAGGAGAAUGCUGUAGUGAAGCCGAUGGAAGGGUGGACGACGUCAAAGCGUCUUGCCCGUGUUGCCGUGGGCGACACGCCGAUCACCAUGGCCGGUACAAAGAGCAGCAAGACCGCGAGGUGGAGUUAAUUUCAUAAAACCGUACUCAGUUGCGGGUGUAGGCUGCACUAGCGUACGAUGAAGCCGGUAUCGUUCGAAAUCGCGGGUCAGCAUGCCGCGGCGAAUACGUUCCCGGGCCUCGUACACACCGCCCGUCUCAUAGGGAGAGUUUGUAACACCCGAUGUCGG